UCUAAAUAGCUACCAACAAGCUGCAGUAGAAGUCUUUGUCACACGGAAAUUUUUAGAGAACUGUUGCGGUGGUCAGAUACUGAAUCUGUUCACCAUUUUUGCAUUGGUUCCAACUUAUCAGUUUCAACAGCUUUUUAUUAUUCUGAAAGGAUUAUCAACCAUAACGUUUUUUGCUCAGAGGUGCCUAUUUAUACAGUUCAUGUCUGUGCCUAGCUUUCCGAAAGUCCAACUUCAAAGUGUUUGUUUAGUUGACUAGUGGACUCUAGGAGGCUGCUUGUAGAUCAAACUCAAAGGCCAAGUUGUUAGAAGGUUUGUUCAGUCUCUUAGUGACCAUGCCGUUGGUAUUGGGAGUAGAGUCAUUCGUGGAGUCAGACCAGAUCAGCAGUUGGUGAAGGCUGGUGAAUAUUUUGGAAUUACUCCUAAACAGCCUGUCAUAAUGUUGUCAAAGGAUGGAUCACAACAAGCAGAAAGUGGCCUCUUGGCGGUUUUGCUAACAGGUGAGUCUCCCAGUUGUUAGAAGGUUUGUUUAAUCUGUUAGUCGCCUAGACGUUGGGAUGGGAGUCAUUCGUGGAGUCGGACCAAAUCAGCAGUUGGUCAAGAUUCUACAUGAUGAGCUAGUGAAAUUGAUAGGUGGAGGGGAAGUAUAUGUGCUACAGGUUACUAAAUUUGGUCCUACAGUAAUAUUGUUGGCUGGGCUCCAAGGAGUUGGAAAUAUAACUUUCUGCACUUAACUAGCUUGUUACCUAAAAGCAGUAGAUGCUUAUUUCUGGAGAUGUAUCCCGAUCUGCUGCCAUCAAUCAACUUGUCAUUUUAGCUAGAUAGGUUUGUGCCGGUUUAUACAGCAGGGACUGAUGUAAAACCUACAGAUCUAACCAAUAAGCAAGAUCUAAAAGAUGCUCAAAAGAAUAAUGUCUAUGUAGUUAUCAUGGAUACUGCAGCAAGGCUUCAAGAUAAAAAAGGCAUGAUGAACGAUUUAAAAGACGUAAAGAAAUUUUUGUAUCCCACAGAAGUGCUACUACUUGUUGAUGCCGUGACUGGACAAGAAGCUGCAGAUUGAACCAUAUCAUAUUUGUGUGUGUUUGUGUGUGUCUUUACUUCUCAGAUUGAAUUUUCGUAUUUGGUAAGCUUCUUACUAAAGUGGUGUGUUUGGUCUCUGAGCUUUUUUACUUUCAUGUGUUAUGUUUUUAGUGCAGGGAAACUGGAUUGGAUCUUCUAAACGUAACUCGCUUUUGGAUUCUCUGGUUGCAGGAGCAGUAAUCAAGAUUCCCAAGUAAGUGACCUUUUGGUUCCAUAAUACAAUCUUGAGAUUUCCAUGUCUUAACAUCCUAACAGGUUAUAACAGGCAGUCCUGUGUCACAGAUCUAAAGGCCUAAGCUCUUAUACAUUAUACGGGCAAUAGACAUUCAUAGAUCAUUAAAUUUUUUCUUAGUUUGUGAAUGGGAAGCUUUGAGUUGUCUCCACUGUUUGUGCUUUUGGUCUCUGAUAUAUAUAUAGGAGGUCCCUUGAGUAGUCCCCCGAACAGCUAUCCUGUUAAUCUCAGUCUCCUGCUCCGAGCGAUUCAUCAACCUGUAGAGAACAUCUAGAAGUAAGUGAAUCCUGAUGCUAGUGUUGGACACUAUUGAAGUCUGGAGGAUGACCGUAACGUUUACUGAACAUGUCCUGCAUCUUCAAGGAUAGAUUUAUACUGAUCUCUCUCUCCUCUAGUAGCCAUAUUAGCUUCAAUCCUCUAUAAAUGAGUAGCUUCAAUCUUUUCCAUUCCCUCGGCUUCAACAGCAGCGUGCUGCACAGCCUCUGCCAAAGCACAUCAAAAUGCUUUAGACAACGUAACAACAUGAGUUAAAAGGAGAAAAAUGAGUACUUUCUAAAAAUACAAACAUGGAUAGAUACUUGACCUGAGACAAAACAAAUAUCGACGUCUCUCAUCUCCCAAUUUAUCUUGAGAAAGCAAGGGACAAUGUAAGCAAGUCUGUUCUUCUUGGUUGUUCCCAGAGCAACCUGAACAUUAAACGUAAUGCAUAAGCAACAAAUGAUAUCUUUAUCACUUGAUGAACAUAUUGAAGAACAUAGCUGUUACAGGCUCAACCUUAGACAUCAGUCUCUAGUGAAGAAUUUGGUGGUAAUAAAGCCCUCUGAAGCAAGAUAUGUUCAUCUUUGAAGGGCCAAGUAUACGAGAGAAGGAAGCUUAUAUAUACGUAUCCCAAGAUGUGGAUGUAUUAUAAAGGCGAUGUUCAUCUUUGAAGCUUCUUUUUCUAUUUCCACGUGUGAUCUGACUUUGCAGACUGAGUUGGGUACUUUUGUUUUUCUGUUUGCGGGUUUCAUGUCCGGGUUAUUUGAUCUUCAACCAAUUGGAAUAAUAAUAAAUUUGGGUAAAGAUAAAGCCCGCAGUUCGGCCCAA
Molecule: non-coding RNA, 2395 nt
Organism: Camelina sativa (false flax)
Lineage: Eukaryota; Viridiplantae; Streptophyta; Magnoliopsida; Brassicales; Brassicaceae
Source: RefSeq, a predicted model, not a curated record